Molecule: ribosomal RNA, 669 nt
Filed under: Salmonella enterica subsp. enterica serovar Anatum
Lineage: Bacteria; Pseudomonadati; Pseudomonadota; Gammaproteobacteria; Enterobacterales; Enterobacteriaceae
Also listed under: 3 other names
Description: partial 23S ribosomal RNA
Rfam family: Bacterial large subunit ribosomal RNA
Source: RNAcentral
UGGUGGGUAGUUUGACUGGGGCGGUCUCCUCCUAAAGAGUAACGGAGGAGCACGAAGGUUGGCUAAUCCUGGUCGGACAUCAGGAGGUUAGUGCAAUGGCAUAAGCCAGCUUGACUGCGAGCGUGACGGCGCGAGCAGGUGCGAAAGCAGGUCAUAGUGAUCCGGUGGUUCUGAAUGGAAGGGCCAUCGCUCAACGGAUAAAAGGUACUCCGGGGAUAACAGGCUGAUACCGCCCAAGAGUUCAUAUCGACGGCGGUGUUUGGCACCUCGAUGUCGGCUCAUCACAUCCUGGGGCUGAAGUAGGUCCCAAGGGUAUGGCUGUUCGCCAUUUAAAGUGGUACGCGAGCUGGGUUUAGAACGUCGUGAGACAGUUCGGUCCCUAUCUGCCGUGGGCGCUGGAGAACUGAGGGGGGCUGCUCCUAGUACGAGAGGACCGGAGUGGACGCAUCACUGGUGUUCGGGUUGUCAUGCCAAUGGCACUGCCCGGUAGCUAAAUGCGGAAGAGAUAAGUGCUGAAAGCAUCUAAGCACGAAACUUGCCCCGAGAUGAGUUCUCCCUGAGACUUAGAGUCUCCUGAAGGAACGUUGAAGACGACGACGUUGAUAGGCCGGGUGUGUAAGCGCAGCGAUGCGUUGAGCUAACCGGUACUAAUGAACCGUGAGGCUUAAC